RNAcentral lists this transfer RNA (74 nucleotides) under Glaciecola sp. KUL10. Its description in RNAcentral is "Glaciecola sp. (strain KUL10) tRNA". It matches the Rfam family "tRNA". From Rfam's summary of the family: Transfer RNA (tRNA) molecules are approximately 80 nucleotides in length. Their secondary structure includes four short double-helical elements and three loops (D, anti-codon, and T loops). Further hydrogen bonds mediate the characteristic L-shaped molecular structure. tRNAs have two regions of fundamental functional importance: the anti-codon, which is responsible for specific mRNA codon recognition, and the 3' end, to which the tRNAs corresponding amino acid is attached (by aminoacyl-tRNA synthetases). tRNAs cope with the degeneracy of the genetic code in two manners: having more than one tRNA (with a specific anti-codon) for a particular amino acid; and 'wobble' base-pairing, i.e. permitting non-standard base-pairing at the 3rd anti-codon position. Lineage: Bacteria; Pseudomonadati; Pseudomonadota; Gammaproteobacteria; Alteromonadales; Alteromonadaceae. The record is from Rfam by way of RNAcentral.
GCUCCCGUAGCUCAGCUGGAUAGAGUGUCGGCCUCCGAAGCCGAAGGUCACGCGUUCGAAUCGCGUCGGGAGCG